RNAcentral lists this ribosomal RNA (497 nucleotides) under uncultured bacterium. RNAcentral's name for it is "partial 16S ribosomal RNA". It matches the Rfam family "Bacterial small subunit ribosomal RNA", at positions 28 to 507 of the family's 1533-position model. The record is from RNAcentral.
GAUGAACGCUGGCGGCGUGCCUAAUACAUGCAAGUAGAACGCUGAAGGAAGGAGCUUGCUCUUUCCGGAUGAGUUGCGAACGGGUGAGUAACGCGUAGGUAACCUGCCUGGUAGCGGGGGAUAACUAUUGGAAACGAUAGCUAAUACCGCAUAACAGUAGAUGUUGCAUGAUAUCUACUUAAAAGGUGCAAUUGCACCACUACCAGAUGGACCUGCGUUGUAUUAGCUAGUUGGUGAGGUAACGGCUCACCAAGGCGACGAUACAUAGCCGACCUGAGAGGGUGAUCGGCCACACUGGGACUGAGACACGGCCCAGACUCCUACGGGAGGCAGCAGUAGGGAAUCUUCGGCAAUGGACGGAAGUCUGACCGAGCAAAGCCGCGUGAGUGAAGAAGGUUUUCGGAUCGUAAAGCUCUGUUGUAAGAGAAGAACGAGUGUGAGAGUGGAAAGUUCACACUGUGACGGUAUCUUACCAGAAAGGGACGGCUAACUACGUG